RNAcentral lists this transfer RNA (90 nucleotides) under Dialister sp. RNAcentral's name for it is "tRNA-Ser". It matches the Rfam family "tRNA". Rfam says of the family: Transfer RNA (tRNA) molecules are approximately 80 nucleotides in length. The record is from RNAcentral. Lineage: Bacteria; Bacillati; Bacillota; Negativicutes; Veillonellales; Veillonellaceae. RNAcentral also lists the same sequence under 1 other name.
GGAAGGGUGUCCGAGCGGUUGAAGGAGGCGGUCUUGAAAACCGUUAACCUCGUGAGGGGUUCAUGGGUUCGAAUCCCAUCCCUUCCGCCA